CAGCUCGUGUCGUGAGAUGUUGGUUAAGUCCCGCAACGAGCGCAACCCCUACGUUUAGUUGCUAACGCGUGAAGGCGAGCACUCUAGACGAACUGCCGUUGACAAACGGAGGAAGGUGGGGAUGACGUCAAAUCAUCAUGCCCCUUAUGUUCUGGGCUACACACGUGCUACAAUGGCCGGUACAGACGGACGCAAAGCCGCGAGGUGGAGCAAAUCCUAAAAAGCCGGUCUCAGUUCGGAUUGCAGGCUGCAAUUCGCCUGCAUGAAGUUGGAAUCGCUAGUAAUCGUAGAUCAGAACGCUACGGUGAAUACGUUCUCGGGGUUU
Molecule: ribosomal RNA, 325 nt
Filed under: uncultured Pelotomaculum sp.
Lineage: Bacteria; Bacillati; Bacillota; Clostridia; Eubacteriales; Desulfotomaculaceae
Description: bacterial SSU rRNA
Rfam family: Bacterial small subunit ribosomal RNA
Source: RNAcentral